UGCCAGCCGCCGCGGUAAUACGAACUGUGCAAACGUUAUUCGGAAUCACUGGGCUUAAAGGGUGCGUAGGCGGACUUGUAUGUCAGGUGUGAAAUCCCACGGCUCAACCGUGGAAUUGCGCUUGAAACCACUCGUCUUGAGGGGAUCAGAGGAGAGCGGAACUGAUGGUGGAGCGGUGAAAUGCGUUGAUAUUAUCAGGAACACCGGUGGCGAAAGCGGCUCUCUGGGAUAUUUCUGACGCUGAGGCGCGAAAGCGUGGGGAGCAAACAGGAUUAGAUA
This 279-nucleotide ribosomal RNA is filed under the name uncultured bacterium. Its description in RNAcentral is "partial 16S ribosomal RNA". It matches the Rfam family "Bacterial small subunit ribosomal RNA", at positions 506 to 784 of the family's 1533-position model. The record is from RNAcentral.